CCUACGGGGCGCAGCAGUCGAGAAUCAUUCACAAUGGGGGAAACCCUGAUGGUGCGACGCCGCGUGGGGGAAUGAAGGUCUUCGGAUUGUAAACCCCUGUCAUGUGGGAGCAAAUUAAAAAGAUAGUACCACAAGAGGAAGAGACGGCUAACUCUGUGCCAGCAGCCGCGGUAAUACAGAGGUCUCAAGCGUUGUUCGGAAUCACUGGGCGUAAGGCGUGCGUAGGCUGUUUCGUAAGUCGUGUGUGAAAGGCGCGGGCUCAACCCGCGGACGGAACAUGAUACUGCGAGACUAGAGUAAUGGAGGGGGAACCGGAAGUCUCGGUGUAGCAGUGAAAUGCGUAGAUAUCGAGAGGAACACUCGUGGCGAAGGCGGGUUCCUGGACAUUAACUGACGCUGAGGCACGAAGGCCAGGGGAGCGAAAGGGAUUAGAUACCCCUGUAGUC
This 446-nucleotide ribosomal RNA is filed under the name uncultured bacterium. RNAcentral describes it as "partial 16S ribosomal RNA". It matches the Rfam family "Bacterial small subunit ribosomal RNA", at positions 338 to 795 of the family's 1533-position model. The record is from RNAcentral.